RNAcentral lists this ribosomal RNA (253 nucleotides) under uncultured bacterium. Its description in RNAcentral is "partial 16S ribosomal RNA". It matches the Rfam family "Bacterial small subunit ribosomal RNA", at positions 524 to 776 of the family's 1533-position model. The record is from RNAcentral.
UACGAAGGGGGCUAGCGUUGCUCGGAAUCACUGGGCGUAAAGCGCACGUAGGCGGAUCUUUAAGUCAGGGGUGAAAUCCUGGAGCUCAACUCCAGAACUGCCUUUGAUACUGGGGAUCUCGAGUCCGGAAGAGGUGAGUGGAACUCCGAGUGUAGAGGUGAAAUUCGUAGAUAUUCGGAAGAACACCAGUGGCGAAGGCGGCUCACUGGCCCGAUACUGACGCUGAGGCACGAAAGCGUGGGGAGCAAACAGG